GAUCAUGGCUCAGGAUGAACGCUGGCGGCGUGCUUAACACAUGCAAGUCGAACGGGAAACAUUUUAUUGAAGCUUCGGCAGAUUUAGAUUGUUUCUAGUGGCGGACGGGUGAGUAACGCGUGGGUAACCUGCCUUAUACCGGGGGAUAACAGCCAGAAAUGACUGCUAAUACCGCAUAAGCGCACAGAACCGCAUGGUUCCGUGUGAAAAACUCCGGUGGUAUAAGAUGGACCCGCGUUGGAUUAG
This 246-nucleotide ribosomal RNA is filed under the name uncultured bacterium. RNAcentral describes it as "partial 16S ribosomal RNA". It matches the Rfam family "Bacterial small subunit ribosomal RNA", at positions 15 to 244 of the family's 1533-position model. The record is from RNAcentral.